RNAcentral lists this ribosomal RNA (389 nucleotides) under uncultured bacterium. Its description in RNAcentral is "bacterial SSU rRNA". It matches the Rfam family "Bacterial small subunit ribosomal RNA", at positions 28 to 417 of the family's 1533-position model. The record is from RNAcentral.
GACGAACGCUGGCGGCGUGCUUAACACAUGCAAGUCGAGCGGUAAGGCCCUUUCGGGGGGUACACGAGCGGCGAACGGGUGAGUAACACGUGGGUGACCUGCCCUCAGCUCUGGGAUAAGCCUGGGAAACUGGGUCUAAUACUGGAUAUGACUCCACGGUGCAUGUCGUGGGGUGGAAAGCCUUGUGCGGCUGAGGAUGGGCCCGCGGCCUAUCAGCUUGUUGGUGGGGUGAUGGCCUACCAAGGCGACGACGGGUAGCCGGCCUGAGAGGGCGACCGGCCACACUGGGACUGAGACACGGCCCAGACUCCUACGGGAGGCAGCAGUGGGGAAUCUUGCGCAAUGGGCGAAAGCCUGACGCAGCGACGCCGCGUGAGGGAUGACGGCCU